UACGGGGGGGGCAAGCGUUGUUCGGAAUUACUGGGCGUAAAGCGUGCGCAGGCGGUCUGUUAAGACAGAUGUGAAAUCCCCGGGCUUAACCUGGGAACUGCAUUUGUGACUGGCAGGCUAGAGUAUGGCAGAGGGGGGUAGAAUUCCACGUGUAGCAGUGAAAUGCGUAGAGAUGUGGAGGAAUACCGAUGGCGAAGGCAGCCCCCUGGGCUAACACUGACGCUCAGGCACGAAAGCGUGGGGAGCAAACAGG
Molecule: ribosomal RNA, 253 nt
Filed under: uncultured bacterium
Lineage: Bacteria
Description: partial 16S ribosomal RNA
Rfam family: Bacterial small subunit ribosomal RNA
Source: RNAcentral